RNAcentral lists this ribosomal RNA (569 nucleotides) under Partamona rustica. RNAcentral's name for it is "partial 16S ribosomal RNA". The stretch from base 397 to 555 matches the Rfam family "Bacterial large subunit ribosomal RNA", at positions 2473 to 2632 of the family's 2925-position model. Lineage: Eukaryota; Metazoa; Arthropoda; Insecta; Hymenoptera; Apidae. The record is from RNAcentral.
CACCUGUUUAUCAAAAACAUGUCUUAUUGAAAAUAAUUUUAAGUCAAUCUGCCCAAUGAAAUACUUAAAUGGCUGCAGUAUAAUUGACUGUACAAAGGUAGCAUAAUCAAUUGAUUUUUAAAUGAAAUCUGGAAUGAAAGGAUUAAUGAAAUAUAUACUGUCUCAUAUUUAUUAUAUAAAUUUAAAUUUUUAAUAAAAAUGUUAAAAUAAAUUUAUGGGACGAUAAGACCCUAUAGAAUUUUAUAUUUUAUUAUUUUAUUUUAUGAAAAUUUUAAAUUUAAUAAAAUAUUUAGUUGGGAGAAUUAUUAAAUUUAAAAAAUUUUAAUUAAUAAUAACUUAGAUUAAAGAAAAAAUAAUGAUUUUUAAUUUAAAAAUAUUAGAAUAAAUUACCUUAGGGAUAACAGCGUUAUAUUUUUUUAUAGGUCAUAUAGAAAAAAAUGAUUGCGACCUCGAUGUUGAAUUAAGAUAAAUUUUAAAUGCAGGAGUUUAAUAAUUAAGUCUGUUCGACUUUUAAAAUCUUACAUGAUUUGAGUUCAAAUCGACGUAAGUCAGAUUGGUUUCUAUCUAUA